CCUACGGGAGGCAGCAGUGAGGAAUAUUGGUCAAUGGUCGGGAGACUGAACCAGCCAAGCCGCGUGAGGGAGGAAGGUACAGAGUAUCGUAAACCUCUUUUGUCAGGGAACAAAGGCGGGGACGUGUCCCCGGCUGAGUGUACCUUACGAAAAAGCAUCGGCUAACUCCGUGCCAGCAGCCGCGGUAAUCCGGAGGAUGCGAGCGUUAUCCGGUUUUAUUGGGUUUAAAGGGUGCGCAGGCGGUCUGUUAAGUCAGCGGUCAAAGCCCGGGGCUCAACCCCGGCCCGCCGUUGAAACUGGCAGUCUCGAGUUGGAGAGAAGUAUGCGGAAUGCGCGGUGUAGCGGUGAAAUGCAUAGAUAUCGCGCAGAACUCCGAUUGCGAAGGCAGCAUGCCGGCUCCACACUGACGCUGAGGCACGAAAGCGUGGGUAUCGAACAGGAUUAGAUACCCUUGUAGUC
Molecule: ribosomal RNA, 459 nt
Filed under: uncultured bacterium
Lineage: Bacteria
Description: partial 16S ribosomal RNA
Rfam family: Bacterial small subunit ribosomal RNA
Source: RNAcentral